UUAAUUAGAUCUAAGCUGAACGUACUUCUUAAACUUAACUGAAACUGCCAGGAUCUAGCAAACUCAAGCACACUCUGAUUUAGAAAUCCAAUACGAGCUUAACAGUAGAGAUCGAACCAGCGAGUUCAAGUUCGGCAAAAGCUCAAGCACAAAGCUAUAUAUCCAAAUCUGAACCUGACUUAAAUAUAUUUUGCGAAAUAAAAUCUGAAAAUAUUAAACAGCGGCAACCUCGACGAAACUGGGAAUCUGUCCGGAAACCUCGAACC
RNAcentral lists this long non-coding RNA (266 nucleotides) under Nicotiana benthamiana. RNAcentral's name for it is "long non-coding RNA (NBEN_LNC016113)". The record is from RNAcentral. Lineage: Eukaryota; Viridiplantae; Streptophyta; Magnoliopsida; Solanales; Solanaceae.